UGAAGAGAAAGGAUUCCAGCUGGACCUUCAGUUUUCAGCUACUGCAGCACCUCCUGAACAGUCUUCAGAUUCAGGUUUACGUCCAGAAACGCCAAAUUUAAACCUGAACCUGCAGGUGAGAGCUGCUGAUCCAGUAGAAACAGGUGUGAAAGUUAAUUCUGUGUGUCUGUUGGACAGCAGGUGGCGCCGCUGUAACAUGAACAUCAGGGCAAACUGGUAAAAACAACUAAUCUUUAUUGGAAACAAGAAAUAAAUACAGAAGAAAAGGACAGAAUCAUCAGCAGCUGGAAACAUCUGGACAAGACCAUGGAAACACCUGGAUUCCACAGUUGUUCUCGGUGAAGUCUCUGCAGAUUCCUCGGACCAGCGCCGGGACGAACUCCAUCAGGCCGCUGAACUCUCUGGUGAAGAAGGUGUGACUGUCUUUGGGCUCUGAUGACAUCACUCUGAGGUCAUCCAGCGGUGCCCACGCCGUGCCCACGGAGUAGAUGGUGAUGCCUGGUGAUUGGACGAAACACAAACAGGUGACACGUGACGUCACAUUUCGGACGACAUACUAAACUAUGACGUUUUAGUCCAUUUCCGGACGACAACAUCCACAUGUGAAAAGCUGAGACAAGUUCAUUUCUGCUUAAAGUAAUGAUUUGCAAAUAUUUUUUUGUCAAUCAGCUGAUCGGUUUAUUAAGUAAUCAUGCCAACAGUGAUAUGCAGCUUGGUUUUAGAGAGAAUAUUUACAUAGCUUGGAAUGCAAUGGAAUACAUUUUGAUUUUGAGGCACUCUGGGAGGUUAAUCAGAAAAUUCAUGAUGAUUUUUUUUCAAAGAAAACCUUUCUGGAGUGUUUUCCACGGCCUCCGUUACAUUAUUUCAUCAUAUGGCACAUUUUUACAUGUUUGAAAAAUGGCAUUUUUUUCCGACAUAGUAUAGUAAGGCGUUUUUUUUGCGCCAAAAUUCAUGAUGAUUUUUUUUCAAGAGAAAACCUUUCUGGAGUGUUUUUCACGGCCUCCUUUACAUUAUUUCAUCAUAUGGCACGUUUUUACAACAUGUUUGAAAAAUGGCAUUUUUUUUCGAC
This is a long non-coding RNA of Amphiprion ocellaris (clown anemonefish), 1069 nucleotides long. The record is from Ensembl. Lineage: Eukaryota; Metazoa; Chordata; Actinopteri; Pomacentridae.